UCUGGAGAGUUCUCUCAACUACUCCCUUUCUCUCUCUUAUUUCUCUCACUAUAUCCUUCAUGUUCUUCAGCUUAAUCUUCACGUUUUCAUGGUAUCAAAGCCGGAUGAUCUUCGGAUCCUUCUCGGUUGCGUGUUAUCGAUCCUGUUCGAAGCUUUUGCUGAAGUUUUUUUUAUGGUUAUUGGUGAGAGAUACUGUUUGGAGAUGUUUCAACGAAUAUUGAGCGGAUAAUCGUAGCUUUCCUGUUAUUCAAGGUUCCGAUCUUGUAUCAGUGGGUGUUUUGGGUAAUUUUCCGGCAUCGUCUUCGCUUGAUAGACGUUUUGGGUAACUUUCCGGCGUUUGUGACCUUAUUCCGGUGAGUUUCAGAACCUACGGUUUCCGGUGUUGGACCUAGGGUUUUCUCUGUUGAUUGAAGGCCGAUCUUCUCCCGUCGCGAAGAAGGAGGGUAACUCUGUCCUUAUUUUGAGUAUUGUAUGCUUUGUAUGUGAGUAUCUGGUUCCGUUAUAUUUUGCUUGCCAAAACUCCGGUCGCGAAGAAGGAGGGUAACUCUGUCCUUAUUUUGAGUAUUGUAUCCUUUGUAUGUGAGUAUCUGGUUCCGUUAUAUUUUGCUUGCCGAAACUGUUUUCCUUUCAAGCUGGUUCAUUAAUCAUGGCUUCUAAUACGAAUGUUGGUACCUCCUCGGUAGACUCUACCAGCCCCCUUUUUGUCUACUCCUCUGAUGUUCCUAGUGUCUCUCUUGUCCCCACUCCCUUCUCGGGCAGUGAUUAUGGGGGUUGGAGGAGAAAAAUAAUUGUUGCGUUAUCUGCUAAAAACAAAAUUGGUUUUGUUGAUGGCACGUGCUCCCGGCCAGUCACUAAUGUGGCUCAACAAAGGUUAUGGGACAGGUGCAAUAAUAUGGUGAUUUCCUAGUUAACUGCCUCCCUCUCCCCUCAAAUUGCUGAAAGUGUGCAGUAUUCUGAUACUGCACAGAGUAUAUGUUCCCAGCUUCAGGUCAGAUAUGGCACUGCCAACAGGACCAAAAUUUUUGAAUUAAAAAGAGAGCUUUCUCACACCUCUCAAGGGUCCCUAGAUGUAGCUUCAUAUUUUAAUAAACUGAAAGGUCUGUGGGAUGAAUUAGAAUCAAUGUGUGCCAAUCAUAGCCAAAGAUGUGUUUGUGCUGCCAAAGAUGGUAUAAUACAGGAAAAUGAUGAAAAUAAGGUAUUUCAGUUUCUAAUGGGCUUUAAUGAAGCCUACAUGGGGGUAAGGAGUAACCUUUUGAUGAUGCAGCCACCUCCAACCCUUAACAGUGUCUAUAAUAUGGUCCUCAAUGAUGAGAAGCAAAGACAAGUCCAGUCUCCUUCUCACUUUUUGAUGAUGCAGCCUUCUCCAACCCUUGACAAUGUCUAUAAUAUGGUCCUCAAUGAUGAGAAGUAAAGACAAGUCCAGUCUCCUUCUCACUUUAAUCCAGACUCUGUGUCUUUCAAUGUCCAUACUAAUAGGUAUUCAGUUGGAUUUAAUAAGGCCACAUUGCCUAAUACUUCUCCUCCUUUCAGACAAAGAGUCAACUUUGAUCAAGGCAGAGGGCCUUUAUUCUGCAGAUACUGUAAGAAAUCUGGACAUUUAAUUGAUAAGUAUUUCAAGAUUCAUGGGUAUCCACAAAGUACAAAUUUUAACAAGGGGAGGAGACCUGAUGCUGCUCAUCUUACUGUUGGUGUGGAUUUCCCUCAUUCUGAUGGACAUAUGUCUGUUCCCCAAGGGAAUCCUCCUGAAAGCCAUCAAUCUGUUCCAAAAGUAGAUGGCCAGAGUUCUGUGAUACCUGGGUUGAGCAGACAACAGUAUGAUCAAUUGAUGAGCUUAUUACAACAGACCCAGUUAGGGGACUCCACUGCUCAGACUCCUCCUCCCAUGUA
Molecule: long non-coding RNA, 1887 nt
Filed under: Nicotiana benthamiana
Lineage: Eukaryota; Viridiplantae; Streptophyta; Magnoliopsida; Solanales; Solanaceae
Description: long non-coding RNA (NBEN_LNC022668)
Source: RNAcentral